GCGUUAUACAUAAUCUGACAAUAUGUGACUAUAAAUGACAUUGAUAGUGGGGACAUUUUUAUCAAAUGAAUCAACUGAAAGGCCAAACAGGAACAGUGUGGCAAUUCCUUUUGACUUCUAGAGCUAGAUUCAAUCCGUACCAAAAGGAAAAAAAGAAAUGUUCCUGCGUUCGAGGAGACUGCAUUCACGGUAAAUGUUGGAUAUGUUGAGUCAAUCGGAAAUUACCUUUAAAUUUCAAUCGUGCUAUACAACGGACCUUCCAUGCUACAGAUUGAAUGUAGGCCUUAGUCUCCACAGUUGUCAGAAAUAAGUUGAAUUAGAUAUUGCUUGUGUCAUUGCCGACAGCAAAGAACACUGAAUUGAGGAAAUUGUUACACGUGUAACAAGAAGUAAAUAUUUGACAUUGAGUUGUAAAAUGUUUACUCUUGUGAGUGGUAACCUCACUGGCACUCUGUGUAAUGACAACCAGUAAUACAUGUCAUUUCAGACUUUAAGAAUAGUCUCUUUCUGCUGCAUUCUCAUAACAUUGUCAAAUCGGUCUUUAAACUCUGAUAUGACUUAUCCAUAAACACUGAAUGUACAUACACUAUCCUUCAGAAAUGUAUUAGAAAUAUUCCAAAAUACAAUUUGUGUCCAUAAUUUGGUGUUUAUUUAUGUAUAUUACAUAUACAAUUAAACAGGCAAAAUAAUGAAUGAUUUAAACUAUCCGGUCUGCCGGUAUUAAAAAAAAUAAGUCAUUAGAUGUAGUUUUCAAAAUGUAUGUCAUAAACAUUGAUGAAUAAACAGCAUUAUGAUAUAUCCCACAGGGCACAGGCAUCAAUUCAACUUAUAUUCCACGUUGGUUCAACGCCAUUUCAUUGAAAUGACGUGGAAACAACGUUGAUUCAACCAGUUUGUCCCCAGUGGGAUGUAUCUCUUUGGAAAGUGCCUGUCACCUAUUGUAUGUGGUCAAGGUUAUGAUGAUUUUGGGUGCUGGGGUUGAGAGAAGCGGUGGCUGUGGUGCUAGCCGGUGUUGAGGUGUCAGAUCAGUUGAUACGGUUGCCCAGGAUGAUGGCAGAGACGAUGUACAGGACGAUGACGGUGAUGCCGAUACCCAGAGCGGUGUGGUUCAGUAUCCGCGCUAGACGAGAAUUCUUCUCAGCAAUCUGCUGAUGACCCUGGUUGUUGGCGUCUCUAGUCUGAGAGCAGAGAGCA
Molecule: long non-coding RNA, 1194 nt
Organism: Oncorhynchus tshawytscha (Chinook salmon)
Lineage: Eukaryota; Metazoa; Chordata; Actinopteri; Salmoniformes; Salmonidae
Source: Ensembl